GAUUAACGCUAGCGGCAGGCCUAAUACAUGCAAGUCGAACGGGAUUUCGGGUAGCAAUAUCUGAAUGAGAGUGGCGCACGGGUGCGUAACGCGUAUGCAAUCUACCGCUGACUGGGGAAUAGCCCUCCGAAAGGAGGAUUAACACCGCAUAAAACUGCGAAGUGGCAUCACUUUGCAGUCAAAACUCUGGUGGUCAGCGAUGAGCAUGCGUCCGAUUAGCUAGUUGGUGAGGUAACGGCUCACCAAGGCA
RNAcentral lists this ribosomal RNA (250 nucleotides) under uncultured bacterium. Its description in RNAcentral is "partial 16S ribosomal RNA". It matches the Rfam family "Bacterial small subunit ribosomal RNA", at positions 28 to 275 of the family's 1533-position model. The record is from RNAcentral.